Molecule: long non-coding RNA, 1468 nt
Filed under: Homo sapiens (human)
Lineage: Eukaryota; Metazoa; Chordata; Mammalia; Primates; Hominidae
Description: long non-coding RNA NONHSAT220954.1
Source: RNAcentral
CCUCGUCUGUGCACAGACUGGUGGCCGACUCUGGAGCCCAGGCUGUUGCUUCCUGGUCUGGUGAUGAAUCCUCCAUAGUCUGGGGUCUCACUUUGUUGCCCAGGCUGGCCUAUUCCAGGAUUUGACUUUGCAGUUGAUUCCCUAGACAUGUGAAGAUCUGAGUCUAAUCAAAGAUAAUUCAGAGAUCGUCAGGGUAACAUGCAAGGACUGUCCUUUAGUAGCUAAACCAGAGACGUGCAGAACCAUCUGGGCUACCUUCUCUCCUGCCACCCUGUAGCUACUUGUACUGAAGAACCAAGCCUGUGGGCUCAGAGGACCCACAUGCAGGAAAGGGGUCUCCAGUCACCUCUCAUGAGGAGACGCGUCCCACUGCCUCAUUGAGGUGGCCUCAGGGUGAAGAAUCAGGACCCACCUGGUGCAACGAAUAAACCCAGACUCUCAGCAUCGCGAGGAGAAAAAGUCUUGCAACACCGUGGCGACCAAGUAACUCUGUGCACAUACUAAGGUCUCAAAACACAGGCACGGCCCCUGGAGUUCCCAGUACAUCAACAUCAGCCUGGGGAUCAUGUCCUCAUCAAAAGCUGGAAAGAGGAGAAACUCGAACCAGCCUGGGAAGGACCUUACCUGGUGCUCCUAACACUGAAACCACAGUCCAGAUAGCAGAAAAAGGAUGGACCCAUCACACCCCAGUCAAGAAAGCAUCACCACCUCCGGAGUCAUGGGCCGUUAUCCCAGGGGAAAACCCUACCAAACUAACGCUAAGAAAAGUUUAACUCUCCUUCAUCUAUUCUAUUACUCCUUCUUCUUUCCUCAUUCUAUGGCUGACCACCUCAUUAUUAAUGUAACCAGGUCAAGCUCACCCCAAACUAUUACCUUCGAUGCAUGUCUUGUCAUACCCUGUGGAGAUCUCCAAAGUCAAAAGCAACUCUCAGACUCAGAGAAGUAUCUCUGCCCCUUUAAGAUAAAAGGCUCCCCCUAUCAAGACCCUUGUUCCUUAACGAAUGCAGGAAAACAGGUCUGCCAUAGCUGGAAUGAUGUUGUGUGGACAACUGAAUAUCAAGGCUGGACCUCGUCAACCGGUGGUUGUAUGUCCUUAAAACCAUACAUUCACUUCACUAAAGAAAGUACCCCCCAUAAUUGCCAGUAUAACCAAUGUAAUCCAGUGCAAAUUUCUAUUCUCAUUCCAACUUCUACUGACCCUAAACCUACUUUAAGUUGCUUAUAUGGCAUGGGAGCCGAAAUAGCAGGGGCACAUCUUAUUGGAUAUUUUGAGAUAUGUUUUAUUACUCCUUCACCUCCUACAUUCCUUCUACAUUAUCCCCCAAUGUUCUGUUCUUCCUCCACCCAAAGAUAAAACCAAAAUAGAUAUUGUAGAAGUAAAUGACCUAAAACAAACUUUAGCAAUUGAAACAGGAUAUCAAGAUGCAAAUGCCUGGAUGGAAUGGAUUAAAUAUUCCGUCCACACUUU